Molecule: ribosomal RNA, 461 nt
Filed under: uncultured Planctomycetaceae bacterium
Lineage: Bacteria; Pseudomonadati; Planctomycetota; Planctomycetia; Planctomycetales; Planctomycetaceae
Description: bacterial SSU rRNA
Rfam family: Bacterial small subunit ribosomal RNA
Source: RNAcentral
UCGCCUACGGGUGGCUGCAGUCGAGAAUUUUUGGCAAUGGGCGAAAGCCUGACCAAGCGAUGCCGCGUGCGGGAUGAAGGCCUUCGGGUUGUAAACCGCUGUCAGUGGGGAGGAAAGCUUUGCGAAGAGCAAGGCUUGACCUAUCUGCAGAGGAAGUGUGGGCUAAGUUCGUGCCAGCAGCCGCGGUAAGACGAACCACACAAACGUUAUUCGGAAUUACUGGGCUUAAAGGGUGCGUAGGCUGCGCAGAAAGUUGGGUGUGAAAUCCCUCGGCUCAACCGAGGAACUGCGCCCAAAACUACUGUGCUUGAGGAAGAUAGAGGUAAGCGGAACUUACGGUGGAGCGGUGAAAUGCGUUGAUAUCGUAAGGAACACCUGUGGCGAAAGCGGCUUACUGGGUCUUUUCUGACGCUGAUGCACGAAAGCUAGGGGAGCAAACGGGAUUAGAUACCCCAGUAGUC